UAACUUUUAUAUACAUAGAAAAUCGUACCUGUAAAUUAGUUCUACGCUUUAUUGAUCCAGCUACGGUAAUGGUAUCUUUUGAAGCAGUGGCAAAGCUACGAGCUCUUUGCUGUUUUGCAAAAGUUGUUUUGCAGCCUUUCCAUAGAAGCGGGCGGAAAUUUUGAAUCCGAAACGUGAUAAAGGAUAAAACUCUUCAGAAACUUGAAAACAGGAAAAUAGAAAAGUAAAUUGUCACGACACAAGAAACAAAACAUCCUUUAGUUCGUUAUAUAAGCGCUGGAAGAUACACAGUUUUCACCACUUGCAAGUUGAAGAAAUCAAAUUUACAAGAUGAACAAGACUCUUUUUAUUCUGCUGAUCAUCGGACUCCUGGUUGUCACUGAUGUUACAGCCUGGCGCCGCCGUCGCUGUCGCAGACGCUAUUACGGAGACGCCGAAAAGGUUAUGAAAUCUUUCGAAGAUGAAGUCGCUCAGGAAAACGAUCGUUAUUCCUAUUACGAACGUCAAGAAGACAACUAAAUCGUUGAAUUGAGAAAUUAAUAAACUCAAAUAUUAACGAGCAUAA
Ciona intestinalis (vase tunicate) is the source of this 565-nucleotide non-coding RNA. The record is from RefSeq and is a predicted model, not a curated record. Lineage: Eukaryota; Metazoa; Chordata; Ascidiacea; Phlebobranchia; Cionidae.